GCAAACUUGGUCAUUUAGAGGAAGUAAAAGUCGUAACAAGGUUUCCGUAGGUGAACCUGCGGAAGGAUCAUUACAAAUCCAACGUCUCCCUUUCGAGACCUCGUUGAAACACACUCACUAUGAUGUAUCGCAUGAAGAGGAGGGUGGUGACGAUAAUGGGUGGUGAUGGGUGGUAGUGGUAGUGGUGGUGAUGAUGAUGGUAGUGGGUGGUAGUGAUCUCACACAUCUCUCUCUCUCGUCUAUCAUCAUCUUCCCCGUCCGCCCCAUCUCAUCUCAUCUCAUCUCACUCCUUCUCCUCAUGUGAUGCGAUAUAGCCAAGAAUCAUCGUUGAUCAUUUGUAUCUUGCUGAAAUAACGCAGAAACAACUUGUACCAAUGGAUCUCUAGGCUCCUGCAUCGAUGAAGAACGCAGC
Molecule: unclassified non-coding RNA, 412 nt
Filed under: uncultured fungus
Lineage: Eukaryota; Fungi
Description: partial contains small subunit ribosomal RNA, internal transcribed spacer 1, and 5.8S ribosomal RNA
Rfam family: Eukaryotic small subunit ribosomal RNA (bases 1-73)
Source: RNAcentral